Molecule: ribosomal RNA, 372 nt
Filed under: uncultured bacterium
Lineage: Bacteria
Description: bacterial SSU rRNA
Rfam family: Bacterial small subunit ribosomal RNA
Source: RNAcentral
GACGAACGCUGGCGGCGUGCUUAACACAUGCAAGUCGAACGGUAAGGCCCUUCGGGUACGACGAGUGGCGGAACGGGUGAGUAACACGUGGGUGAUCUGCCCUGCACUUCGGGAUAAGCUUGGGAAACUGGGUCUAAUACCGGAUAGGACCACGGUCUGCAUGGAUUGUGGUGGAAAGCUUUUGCGGUGUGGGAUGGGCCCGCGGCCUAUCAGCUUGUUGGUGGGGUGAUGGCCUACCAAGGCGACGACGGGUAGCCGGCCUGAGAGGGUGUCCGGCCACACUGGGACUGAGAUACGGCCCAGACUCCUACGGGAGGCAGCAGUGGGGGAAUAUUGCACAAUGGGCGCAAGCCUGAUGCAGCGACGCCGCGU